Molecule: ribosomal RNA, 717 nt
Filed under: uncultured Pelagibacteraceae bacterium
Lineage: Bacteria; Pseudomonadati; Pseudomonadota; Alphaproteobacteria; Candidatus Pelagibacterales; Candidatus Pelagibacteraceae
Description: bacterial SSU rRNA
Rfam family: Bacterial small subunit ribosomal RNA
Source: RNAcentral
CGCCUAACACAUGCAAGUCGAACGAAGUAGCAAUACUUAGUGGCAGACGGGUGAGUAACAUGUAGGUAUCUACCCUUUGGCCUGGAAUAACACGAGGAAACUUGUGCUAAUACUGGAUAAGUCUUUACGGAGAAAGCUUUAUGCACCAAUGGAUGAGCCUGCACUUGAUUAGUUUGUUGGUAGGGUAAUGGCCUACCAAGACUGUGAUCAAUAGCUGAUUUGAGAGGAUGAUCAGCCACAUUGGGACUGAGACACGGCCCAAACUCCUACGGGAGGCAGCAGUGGGGAAUCUUGCACAAUGGAGGAAACUCUGAUGCAGCGAUGCCGCGUGAGUGAAGAAGGCCCUUGGGUUGUAAAGCUCUUUCGUCGGGGAAGAAAAUGACUGUACCCGAAUAAGAAGGUCCGGCUAACUUCGUGCCAGCAGCCGCGGUAAUACGAAGGGACCUAGCGUAGUUCGGAAUUACUGGGCUUAAAGAGUUCGUAGGUGGUUGAAAUAGUUGGUGGUGAAAUCCCAGAGCUUAACUCUGGAACUGCCAUCAAAACUUUUCAGCUAGAGUUUGAUAGAGGAAAGCAGAAUUUCUAGUGUAGAGGUGAAAUUCGUAGAUAUUAGAAAGAAUACCAAUUGCGAAGGCAGCUUUCUGGAUCAUUACUGACACUGAGGAACGAAAGCAUGGGUAGCGAAGAGGAUUAGAUACCCUCGUAGUCCAUGCCGUAAAC